Molecule: long non-coding RNA, 474 nt
Organism: Vitis riparia (riverbank grape)
Lineage: Eukaryota; Viridiplantae; Streptophyta; Magnoliopsida; Vitales; Vitaceae
Exons: 2
Source: RefSeq, a predicted model, not a curated record
CUCAAGGUUUAGGUCGUCCUCCUAUUGGAAAUACAUGUUGACCACGAAUGCUUCCGCAUACCCAACUGGACUUGCACCAGUCACUGCCACAAAAAGAUCAAGCUCUCGACGAGUGCUUCAACCUGGUGCCAGAUGAAUGCAUGGCGAUUGAAAACCACUGGGAGAAUCGGAAUUUCCAGCUUGAUUCCCUUCACGUCCAUGCAAUCAUAAAGCCCAUUUGUGCGGUAUCUUGCCAUGAAUAACUAUGAUAGCUUCAUGUGGACGGUUGACACUCCACCCAGUAUGUUACAAGGCUAAAGGAUCUUGUUUGGUUGGGGAGAAAGUGUAGGGAAAUGGAAGGAACCAAAAUCUUUGAACACUGCAUGGUCUCAAAUUUUGGGGUUCUUCAAGAAUAAGAUAACUUGUCUGGUUCUGUUUUUUCUUGGUUUUGUAUGGAACCAAAUAGAGGAGUGAGAAAAUUGCUGUUCUCAGUAA